AUUGAACGCUGGCGGCAUGCCUUACACAUGCAAGUCGAACGGCAGCGGGGGAGAAGCUUGCUUUUCCUGCCGGCGAGUGGCGAACGGGUGAGUAAUACAUCGGAACGUGCCCUGCAGUGGGGGAUAACUAGUCGAAAGAUUAGCUAAUACCGCAUACGACCUGAGGGUGAAAGUGGGGGACCGCAAGGCCUCAUGCUAUAGGAGCGGCCGAUGUCUGAUUAGCUAGUUGGUGGGGUAAAGGCCAACCAAGGCGACGAUCAGUAGCUGGUCUGAGCGGACGAGCAGCCACAGUGGGAGUGAGAGACGGCCCAGACUCCGACGGGAGGCAGCGGUGGGGAAUUUUGGACAAUGGGCGAAAGCCUGAGCCAGCAAUGGCGCGUGUGUGAGGAAGGCCUUCGGGUUGUAAAGCACUUUUGUCCGGAAAGAAAUGGCUCUGGUUAAUACCUGGGGUCGAUGACGGUACCGGAAGAAUAAGGACCGGCUAACUACGUGCCAGCAGCCGCGGUAA
This 508-nucleotide ribosomal RNA is filed under the name uncultured bacterium. RNAcentral's name for it is "partial 16S ribosomal RNA". It matches the Rfam family "Bacterial small subunit ribosomal RNA", at positions 29 to 523 of the family's 1533-position model. The record is from RNAcentral.